AGAGUUUGAUCAUGGCUCAGAACGAACGCUGGCGGCGUGCUUAACACAAGCAAGUCGAACGCGAACGGGUUCUUCGGAACCUCAGUAGAGUGGCGCACGGGUGAGUAACGCGUAAGUAAUCUACCCUCGCAUUUGGGAUAACCCACCGAAAGGUGUGCUAAUACCGGAUACGUCUGUACAAAAAUCUUUUAUAUAGAGAAAGGUGGCCUCUGAUUCAAGCUACUGUGCGGGGAGGAGCUUGCGUACCAUUAGCUAGUUGGUAGGGUAAAGGCCUACCAAGGCAACGAUGGUUAGCGGGUCUGAGAGGAUGAUCCGCCACACUGGAACUGAAACACGGACCAGACUCCUACGGGAGGCAGCAGUGAGGAAUAUUGCGCAAUGGGGGCAACCCUGACGCAGCGACGCCGCGUGGAUGAUGAAGGCCUUCGGGUUGUAAAAUCCUGUCAGAUGGGAAGAAGUGUAAUAUGGUUAAUACCUGUAUUAUUUGACGGUACCAUCAAAGGAAGCACCGGCUAACUCUGUGCCAGCAGCCGCGGUAAUACAGAGGGUGCAAGCGUUAUUCGGAAUUACUGGGCGUAAAGCGCGCGUAGGCGGACUGUUAAGUCGGUUGUGAAAGCCCUGGGCUCAACCUAGGAAUUGCAUCCGAUACUGGCAAUCUAGAGUUUAGGAGAGGGAAGUGGAAUUCCUGGUGUAGCAGUGA
Molecule: ribosomal RNA, 700 nt
Filed under: uncultured bacterium
Lineage: Bacteria
Description: bacterial SSU rRNA
Rfam family: Bacterial small subunit ribosomal RNA
Source: RNAcentral